UCAGACGAUGCGUCAUGCAUAUCAAUAAGCGGAGGAAAAGAAACUAACAAGGAUUCCCCUAGUAACGGCGAGGUGAAGCGGGAAGAGCUCAAAUUUGAAAUCUUAAAGGGUUUCCCUUUACGAAUUGUAGUUUAAAGAAGGUGUUUUCUGUUGAGGUUUUGGUAAAAGUUCUUUGGAAUAGGACAUCAUAGAGGGUGAGGAUCCCGUAUUUGACCUUUACUUUCAACUCUGUGAUACACUUUCAGAGAGUCGGAUUGUUUGGGAAUGCAGUCCAAAAUGGGUGGUAAAUUUCAUCUAAAGCUAAAUAUUGGCGAGAGACCGAUAGCGAACAAGUACCGUGAGGGAAAGAUGAAAAGAACUUUGAAAAGAGAGUUAAACAGUACGUGAAAUUGUCAAAAGGGAAGCGUUUGACACCAGUGUUGUUUUUCUGAAAAUCAAUUAAAGAACUGUUUAUGCUAAGCUGUUUAGACUUUAUCAGCUAUCUGUUUAGUUUUGAGCUUUUCUUUAAUGCACUUUUCAGUUAACAAGUCAACAUCAAUUUCUUUUGCUGUAAAAAAGCUUGAGGAAGGUGGCUUGAGAUUCGUCUUAAGUGUUUAUAGCCUCUUGCCUAUGCAGUCGGAGAGAUUGAGGUCUGCAGCGUAGAUCCUUCGGGGCUAAAUGCAUUUGUGCUAAGUUAUAGCAUUUCAUAGACAACUUGUUGACUAUGAUUUGUCUUGUAGCUUACUCGCUUAUGUUAUUUUACCUACGCUUAGGAUGUUGAAUCUGUGCGAGACUAC
This 776-nucleotide ribosomal RNA is filed under the name uncultured Neocallimastigales. RNAcentral's name for it is "partial large subunit ribosomal RNA". It matches the Rfam family "Eukaryotic large subunit ribosomal RNA", at positions 18 to 644 of the family's 3401-position model. The record is from RNAcentral. Lineage: Eukaryota; Fungi; Neocallimastigomycota; Neocallimastigomycetes; Neocallimastigales.